RNAcentral lists this ribosomal RNA (253 nucleotides) under uncultured bacterium. RNAcentral describes it as "partial 16S ribosomal RNA". It matches the Rfam family "Bacterial small subunit ribosomal RNA", at positions 524 to 776 of the family's 1533-position model. The record is from RNAcentral.
UACGGGGGGAGCAAGCGUUGUUCGGAAUUACUGGGCGUAAAGCGUGCGCAGGCGGUGAUGUAAGACAGGUGUGAAAUCCCCGGGCUUAACCUGGGAACUGCAUUUGUGACUGCAUCGCUGGAGUGCGGCAGAGGGGGAUGGAAUUCCGCGUGUAGCAGUGAAAUGCGUAGAUAUGCGGAGGAACACCGAUGGCGAAGGCAAUCCCCUGGGCCUGCACUGACGCUCAUGCACGAAAGCGUGGGGAGCAAACAGG